RNAcentral lists this ribosomal RNA (660 nucleotides) under uncultured Carnobacteriaceae bacterium. RNAcentral describes it as "bacterial SSU rRNA". It matches the Rfam family "Bacterial small subunit ribosomal RNA", at positions 63 to 700 of the family's 1533-position model. Lineage: Bacteria; Bacillati; Bacillota; Bacilli; Lactobacillales; Carnobacteriaceae. The record is from RNAcentral.
CGGUCUUUUCUAUGGAAGCUUGCUUCCACUGAGAAGAUAGUGGCGGACGGGUGAGUAACACGUGGGUAACCUGCCCAUAAGAGGGGGAUAACAUCCGGAAACGGGUGCUAAUACCGCAUAGUUUUCUUGGUCGCAUGAUCGAGAAAGGAAAGACGGCCUUUGUGCUGUCGCUUAUGGAUGGACCCGCGGCGUAUUAGUUAGUUGGUGAGGUAACGGCUCACCAAGACGAUGAUACGUAGCCGACCUGAGAGGGUGAUCGGCCACAUUGGGACUGAGACACGGCCCAAACUCCUACGGGAGGCAGCAGUAGGGAAUCUUCCGCAAUGGACGAAAGUCUGACGGAGCAACGCCGCGUGAGUGAAGAAGGUUUUCGGAUCGUAAAACUCUGUUGUCAGAGAAGAACAAGUCGGAGAGUAACUGCUCCGGCCUUGACGGUAUCUGACCAGAAAGCCACGGCUAACUACGUGCCAGCAGCCGCGGUAAUACGUAGGUGGCAAGCGUUGUCCGGAUUUAUUGGGCGUAAAGCGAGCGCAGGCGGUUCCUUAAGUCUGAUGUGAAAGCCCACGGCUCAACCGUGGAAGGUCAUUGGAAACUGGGGAACUUGAGUGCAGAAGAGGAGAGUGGAAUUCCAUGUGUAGCGGUGAAAUGCGUAGAUAUAUG